GGGCAGUUGAAAAGAGCUGGUUUGCAUGCAGUCUUCUCUGUGUGUUUUCUGGUUUGCGGAGUUUGUUGUGGCGCGGGCGGUAGGUUGAAGAAGGUCCUUUCCAUUCCUGUGACUCUGGGAUUUGCCAACAUCCUGAUGAAGUGCACCAUGUUGUUCUUCACUCACCUGGGAAUGGAAGUAGUCAGAACUUUAAGUUUCAGGAGAAAAGUAUAGAGGAGUUAUGGAGGACACCAGUUAAGCUGGUGGGUUUCACAGAUGACACAUCUGGCCUAGUGUCUUGAAGACGAAGCUGUGAAGAUUCAAAGAUUGAGAGGGAAGAUAAAGAAAAACAAAGAGAUAAAAAAAAUGUCACAUCACCAGGACCAGCUACAUAAUUUGGGGGGCCCAGUGUGAAAUGAAAAUGCUUGGCCUCUUGAACAUAAAUUAUUAAGAAUUUCAAAACAGUAACAGCAGAACAAUAAACCAAGAGUGUGUUUGUGUCCUACUCACCUUGAGGCCUUAUGUCGUGGCACAG
This 514-nucleotide long non-coding RNA is filed under the name Equus caballus (horse). RNAcentral's name for it is "lncRNA (ENSECAG00000045074.1)". The record is from RNAcentral. Lineage: Eukaryota; Metazoa; Chordata; Mammalia; Perissodactyla; Equidae.